RNAcentral lists this ribosomal RNA (254 nucleotides) under uncultured bacterium. RNAcentral describes it as "partial 16S ribosomal RNA". It matches the Rfam family "Bacterial small subunit ribosomal RNA", at positions 524 to 776 of the family's 1533-position model. The record is from RNAcentral.
UACGGGGGGGGCAAGCGUUGUUCGGAAUUACUGGGCGUAAAGGGCUCGUAGGCGGCCAACUAAGUCAGACGUGAAAUCCCUCGGCUUAACCGGGGAACUGCGUCUGAUACUGGAUGGCUUGAGUUUGGGAGAGGGAUGCGGAAUUCCAGGUGUAGCGGUGAAAUGCGUAGAUAUCUGGAGGAACACCGGUGGCGAAGGCGGCAUCCUGGACCAAUUCUGACGCUGAGUGAGCGAAAGCCAGGGGAGCAAACAGG